AUUGAACGCUGGCGGCAGGCCUAACACAUGCAAGUCGAACGAGUGGCGGACGGGUGAGUAAUGUCUGGGAAACUGCCUGAUGGAGGGGGUUAACUACUGGAAACGGUAGCUAAUACCUCAUACCAUCAGCUGUGCCCAGAUGGGAUUGGCUGGUUGGUGGGGGAACGGCUCACCAAGGCGACGAUCCCUAGCUGGUCUGAGAGGAGGACAAGCCACACGAGAAAGUAGCCACGGUCAAGACGACUACGGGAGGCAACAGUGGGGAAUAGUGCACAAUGGGCGCAAGCCUGAUGCAGCCAUGCCGCGUGUAUGAAGAAGGCCUUCGGUUUGUAAAGGACUUUCAGCGGGGAGGCGUUACCCGCAGAAGAAGCACCGGCUAACUCCGUGCCAGCAGCCGCGGUAAUUC
RNAcentral lists this ribosomal RNA (406 nucleotides) under uncultured bacterium. RNAcentral's name for it is "partial 16S ribosomal RNA". It matches the Rfam family "Bacterial small subunit ribosomal RNA", at positions 30 to 526 of the family's 1533-position model. The record is from RNAcentral.